GCUGGGCUUACAGAAAGCAUUGAAAACACACUGAACUGAACUUGACCCUGAGCUUGCCACAGUGUGUGAGCCGGCCUCGGCCUGGUUUCAUGCAAGAAUUCUGGUCCAAUUCAUCGCACUUCAGUGGUGAUACUGAUCAUGGGACAUCACCCCAGACAAGCUGCUCAAAGGGACCAUCCAUCUCCCCAGUGGAAAGGCUCAUGCCCCCAAACACUGCCCAUACUUCGGCUGUGCAAAAGGAAAUAUCUCCUAUUCUCCCAAGAGCACCUAGUGUCCUCACACUCUGUCUGCCUUGGGCAAACUCUUCUCAGGAAAGGGUCUUGUAAAUUCAUCCAUCCUAAGGUGUAAUCGACGGAGACAUUCCAUUUCAGAGGUCCUUUCAUUUGAAUAAGAAAUAAAAAUUUCAGGAAAAGCCA
Molecule: long non-coding RNA, 416 nt
Organism: Myotis brandtii (Brandt's bat)
Lineage: Eukaryota; Metazoa; Chordata; Mammalia; Chiroptera; Vespertilionidae
Exons: 2
Source: RefSeq, a predicted model, not a curated record